This 492-nucleotide ribosomal RNA is filed under the name uncultured bacterium. RNAcentral describes it as "partial 16S ribosomal RNA". It matches the Rfam family "Bacterial small subunit ribosomal RNA", at positions 29 to 507 of the family's 1533-position model. The record is from RNAcentral.
AGUGAGCGCUGGCGGUAGGCCUAACACAUGCAAGUCGAACGGCAGCACAGUAAGAGCUUGCUCUUACGGGUGGCGAGUGGCGGACGGGUGAGGAAUACAUCGGAAUCUACUUUUUCGUGGGGGAUAACGUAGGGGAACUUACGCUAAUACCGCAUACGACCUACGGGUGAAAGCAGGGGAUCUUCGGACCUUGCGCGAUUGAAUGAGCCGAUGUCGGAUUAGCUAGUUGGCGGGGUAAAGGCCCACCAAGGCGACGAUCCGUAGCUGGUCUGAGAGGAUGAUCAGCCACACUGGAACUGAGACACGGUCCAGACUCCUACGGGAGGCAGCAGUGGGGAAUAUUGGACAAUGGGCGCAAGCCUGAUCCAGCCAUACCGCGUGGGUGAAGAAGGCCUUCGGGUUGUAAAGCCCUUUUGUUGGGAAAGAAAAGCAGCAGGUUAAUACCCCGCUGUUCUGACGGUACCCAAAGAAUAAGCACCGGCUAACUUCGUG